AUCACAGAUGCGCCGUAGCUCCACACACUUGGGCCGGAUGGAGUCCACCGCAUAGUGGUUACUCUGGAUUAACUGGUCCCCAUGCAGAGCGUGCAGCUGUGCCUUCUCCAGAGAUUCCUGUCAAAUGCAGCACAUGUUUUAGACAUUCACAGCUGCUGGGAGGGAUCAAACCCGGACCUUUGGCUCGUCCGCCAGCAAUGAUGCAAAUCUAACCCAAAUUAGACAGGCUCUUCAGUUCAGUUAGCAGCUGCUCAAUGCGACCAGGCCCGUCUCCGGUGUCUGAAAGUGCCAGCAAAGUCUCCAUCAAACUGUCCAGAGACAUUUUCACCUUCGCAAACACAGACGCACAAAAACAUACAGCAG
Molecule: long non-coding RNA, 363 nt
Organism: Tachysurus fulvidraco (yellow catfish)
Lineage: Eukaryota; Metazoa; Chordata; Actinopteri; Siluriformes; Bagridae
Exons: 3
Source: RefSeq, a predicted model, not a curated record